This is a non-coding RNA of Coturnix japonica (Japanese quail), 485 nucleotides long. NCBI's taxonomy places the organism in Eukaryota, Metazoa, Chordata, Aves, Galliformes, Phasianidae. The record is from the annotation of a RefSeq genome assembly.
UAAUGACGGCCGUGACGUUGGACAAGUCUGGAGGCGGCCUCUACGCGCCUGGAGGAGGCCUCAGCCUCGUCUGCAAUGGCUCAGGGUUCACCUUCAGUGAUUAUAGCAUGAUGUGGGUGCGACAGGCACCAGGAAAGGGGCUGGAAUACGUCGCUGGUAUUACUGGUGCUGGUGGUUACACAGAAUAUGGGCCGGCGGUGCAAGGCCGUGCCACCAUCACGAGGGACGACGGGCAGAGCACAGUGAGGCUGCAGCUGAACAGCCUGAAGGACGAGGACUCGGCCAUGUAUUACUGCGCCAAACAAGCUGGUGGUGGUUGGGAUGCUGCUAAUGGGAUUGACGUCACUGCUGGAUUUAAUAGAAUCAGCCACUGCCCAGACUGGGAUCUCAGAGCUCACUGUCAUGGUCUUGGUUAUCAACAUGGUUAUGGUCAUGGUUAUCAGCCAUCACUGAGACCCAAUGGGGACCCUAUAUGGACACAGUAG